Molecule: non-coding RNA, 1211 nt
Organism: Chrysemys picta bellii (western painted turtle)
Lineage: Eukaryota; Metazoa; Chordata; Testudines; Emydidae
Source: RefSeq, a predicted model, not a curated record
GAAACUUAAUUUAAAAUUAAAUUAAAAUGCAGAGCCCCCUGGACUGGUGGCCAGGAUCCGGGCAUUGUGAGUGCCACUGAAAAUCAGCUCGCGUGCCGCCGGUUGCCUAUCCCUGCUCUAAGACAAACACUUUGAUGUUGGAAGUUUGCCUUGUCUCUCUGUGUUCUGCAUCUGCUUUGGAGAUAAAUAGAAGUCUUCAUUUUCAGGAUCAGCUUUGUUCUUGGCAAUGGCUGCGGAAGCGGAAGGGGAUGUUCUUGAGAAGGCAAGAAAUACAGAAACUUUGGUGUAGUUGAGUUUUUCCUUUAAUUUCCUGUUUUAAUCAAGUUGCUGUCAGAUGUGGUUGAGAAGUUAUUCAUAUUAAUGCGUGAUUGUAUCAUGUUUAGAGCUAAAUCUCUUUCCUCUAUCGUAUAUCCGUUACGUCUUGCUGCAUGUUUCUGCAGAUUGUUUCAAAGAGAUUAAAUUCCAGACAACAGGUUAGAGCAACCCCUUUAACUCGGAAUAUUAAGUCACUUGGAGUCUUUGACUCCAGUAUUUUGCCUGUUCCUCAUUUUAAAGACUAGCAUCCCAUGUGUGUGUGUCAGUCAGUGGUUAAUUUUGGAGUUGAGGCUGAUCCAGCCAACCCCAAAAUCCAGAUCCUAAUGUUGUUGCUGAGGGCUUGUUUACAUGGUGUGUUAGUGUGCACCAGUGGGGUGUGACUUCUGGUCCACACCAGCAUAUCACGUACUAACUGGCUCGUGUGGACCCUGCUGGCUCACACUGACAGUUCCCUAGUGCACAUUGACGUGGUACUGUUUGAAAUAGAACUACAUUAACACACACUAGGGAAUUUUUAGUGCACGUCAGCAGGAUCCACAUGGGCCAGCUAGUGCAUGACACACACCUGUGCAAAUUAGAAUUCACACCCCACUGGUGUGUGCUAACGCACUGUGUAAAUAAGCCCUUAGGACUCACCACUAGUCAAUUAGCUCUUAAGCGGCAGCACCAAGGUGAGAAGGGUACUCUGACGAGCUGGCCAGCAAGUGCAGGCUUCCAAAUAUGGAUUUGUCCUUUCCUUGCAGACCCUCCUCUCAGUGUAGUGAUCCAGUGUCAGCUAGGCCACAACUGCAAAUGUGUUGCUAAUAAUGAAAAACUUGCUUUUUGAGAUGCCUAAAGUGGGGGGAACCUACAUGUCUGUUGUAAAACCAUGUAAUUAGUGCUAGGAUUGACCUUCA